RNAcentral lists this long non-coding RNA (22009 nucleotides) under Malus domestica (apple). RNAcentral describes it as "long non-coding RNA (MDOM_LNC001070)". Lineage: Eukaryota; Viridiplantae; Streptophyta; Magnoliopsida; Rosales; Rosaceae. The record is from RNAcentral.
AGGAGGAGAAGAACGACAAGUGGCACAGGGUGGAGAGGAGCAGUGGCAAGUUUAUGAGGAGGUUCAGGCUGCCGGAGAACGCGAAGAUUGAUCAGGUGAAGGCAUCGAUGGAGAAUGGGGUCCUGACUGUGACUGUGCCGAAAGAGGAGGAGAAGAAGCCUGCUGUCAAGGCCAUUGACAUUUCCGGCUAAGCUCUUGUGGUGUUAAUUUUUGCUUCUGUGUAUUUCCGAGUAUCUGUGUGUGAGAUGAGUGAUCUGAUGUGUCAAUUUUCAUGUAUGGCUUCUUAUUCUAAAUAUUAUUAUAAAUCUUUAUAAAAGCUGAGUCCAUUUUAUUUUUGAAGAAGUGUCUCUUGGAGAAGAUCUAUUUAAUUUUAUACCACGAAUAUGGAGAUCUACUUACUACGAAUAAGAGUCCUAUGGUGGUCGAAAUUCCUAGCUGCUAUUUGUGGUUUGAUUUGUGAACAAGGUUAUAAUUUCAAAUUUUGAAUUGGUGAUUGUUUCUCUUGGUUUUAGUUUGAGUCUUCGAUCAAUUGAUGUUUUUCUUGAACAUGUGAUUGAUUGAAUAUGAAAGUUUUAAUUUUUUUUGUUUAUGUGGCCGAUUCAAUUUAUUUAUUUAGGUAUAUUUUAUGGAAAAAUUAGUUGUCUGGUUGAUAUGGUUACAAUGUAUAUCAGAUUGCAUGGUUAGUUUUAUUUUGUGUUUUUGAGUCUUAACUCGUUGUAGCAUGACGGUUUGAAACAUUCAGGUUAAGCUUGUUCUUCGGUGAAAUUGGAUUCUAGACCUUCCCUACAAAGAUGUUACCGAUUUUCAUCUUUUCUCAAGAAUACAAGAGAAUAUAUGUGGACAAUUCAACCACAAUGAAGACCAUAUAGAUACUUUAUAAUUUUUUUGUUUUUUGUUUUUUUUUUUUGGUAAACUUGAUAUUAUUCCGGGACAAAGCCGAAGUACAAGGCCAACAAAGAUACAAGAAGCACACAAACUUACAAACUAAACAACCAAAGGUCAAGACCAAAGUACAUUGACAAGCAAAAUGGACCAGCCAAACCAAAGCCCAACCAACAGCGUGGCCCAAAACAAAAAAGAUACGGUCGGAUGUGUGUUUGUUAUCUGCAAGAAACACUGCAUUUGCAAAGCUCCCUGUCGCAAAUUAUCAAAUUGCCGGCUCACCAUCCCGGUUAUCGAACUUAAGGCUUGCGGCAUACAUGUGUAGUGUAGGAUUAAAACUGUAAUUAUAUUAGCUUAUGAAAUUAUUCUAUAUAUAAGCCUAAGUCGUCUAUAGACCUAGUGUAGAUUUUACGAAUUGUGAAAUUGUUGAUUUUAAAAACUACCUAGUUUACGUCGCACACAGGUUUAGUAAUUAAUAAGCUAAUUACAUCAUUCGGUUAAAUACGGGAUAUGUUAACUCGUCGGCCGAAUUUGGUCGGAAAGUAAAAUAUGUUGAUGUGACGUUAGGCAUAUUACUGACUUAUUGAUCUUGCGACCGCGGCCGAGAAAGUAACACGUCUCGAUCUUCACGUUCUAGAGUCUAAAAACAAGGUUGCUAGUUCUGCGAAGUUCAAUAUCAAAUUCAACUUUUAGUGUGCCGAAUUUAGUAACAUGAUAACACCUCACUUCGCCUAAAAAACUGAAAAUAUAACCUCUUCCAACAAGAAGUAAAAAAUUAUUGUCAACCAAAAUUUGGAUAAAUAACUAGUCGGUUUGAAAGUAAUGAUGUUUAUUUAAACAAAAGGUGUUCCUCGUAUUGGGGACAUCAAAGAGACACAAAGAAAAAAUCAUAUUGGGGACAUCAAACCUUCAGUCCUCUCUCACCUACUUGUAAAAUUAGUUUCACAACAUAAUUUAGUAUUUUUUUUUCCUUAAAUACGGUUUUUUUUUUUUUUGAGAAAAAAAUCUAUAUCCAAUUUAACUGAUACUUAAUUUAAUUAAUUUUAUAAUUACCAAUUUGGAUAAAAUAAAAUAAAAUUAAUUAUAAAAAAAAUAAAUCAAUCAAUCAAAAAAGGUUUGUAAGUGCCAACUAUGUUUUGGGCCGAAAGGUACUGUUUGGUACGUAGACGGGAUGGAACGGGACGGAACAGGACAGAACAGAUGAUAUAAAUAUUGAAAAAAAUAAGAAGAAAUUUUGUCAUAAAAUGUUAUAAAUUUGUGUUCCCCGAAUGUGGAACGGGUCGUUCUAGGAGGAAGAGGUGGAACGAAAAUCAACCAAAUUUCAUCCCAUGGACAACCCGUUUCACAAUUUUUAAGCGCAUCAAAUGUGGGACGGUUCGUCCCACGUACCAAAUGGUACCAAAAAGUAACUAAAGGCACUUUCGAGAAGUUGGUGGAAGCUGAUGGAACUCUCUGUUUUUAUUGUUUUUUUCCCUUCUGGAUAGCUGCAGAACUUUCUGUAGUUCUCGGAGAAACCUUCUGUGCCAUCCUAUAUAUAUACAACUCACUCCACAACCCUCCUCAUCAGAUAGAAUUAUCCAAAGCAAUCUAAGCAAAAAUCUCUUGCUCAAAUCCUUCGAAUUCACACCCAGCAAAAACCCAACUCAAACCCACCAUCUAAUGGCUCUCAGUCUCUUUGGCGGACGACGAAGCAACGUCUUCGACCCCUUCUCUCUGGACAUCUGGGACCCUUUCGAGGGCUUCGGCGAUCUGGCCAACAUCCCCUCCUCCGCCCGUGAAACCACCGCCAUCGCCAACACGCGCAUCGACUGGAAGGAGACCCCGAAGGCCCACAUCUUCAAGGUGGACCUCCCGGGGAUAAAAAAAGGAGGAGGUGAAAGUGGAGGUGGAGGACGGGAGGGUCCUGCAGAUCAGCGGCGAGAGGAGCCGGGAGCAGGAGGAGAAGAACGACAAGUGGCACAGGGUGGAGAGGAGCAGUGGCAAGUUUAUGAGGAGGUUCAGGCUGCCGGAGAACGCGAAGAUUGAUCAGGUGAAGGCGGCGAUGGAGAGUGGGGUGCUGACUGUGACUGUGCCGAAAGAGGAGGAGAAGAACCCUGAGGUCAAGGCCAUUGACAUCUCCGGCUAAACUAAAUUCGCAUAACCUCGAUCGGCUACUUUUGAGCUCUGUUUUGGUGUGGUGUUAAGUUCUGCUUGUGUGUAUUUCCGAGUCUCUGUAUGUGAGAUGAGUGAUAUGGUGUGUCAAUUGUCAUGUAUGGGUUCUUCUUCUAAAUAUUAUAAUAAAUCUUUAUAAAAGUUUACAUUAUAUUUCCAAGAAGUGUGUCUGGGAGAAGGUCUAUUUAAUUUGUUUUCCACGAAUAUGAAGAAGAUGACUGUUCACGGCGCGAUUAUCUUGCUCUUAAAGUCUAGAACUUUAACACUUGCGCAUAGAAUUGAUAAAGAUUCUUUCGAUCUUCACACCUGCUAUUGCUAUUAGGAACCAGCUGCUGAGCUGUGACCUACGAAGAUUGCAGAGGAGUAUCAGGCAAAGAAGAAAGUUCGAGAUGUAAAUUUUGUAUGGGAGAAGUACUGCUCAAGUCGACAGUCCAGCAAAGGCGACAUUGAAGACAUCUUACUUACUCCAAGAGCAUAUGGCGAAUGCUCGAAGUUGCUUGAUUAGGACAGGGUCCUAUAGUGGUCGAAAUUCCUAGCUGCUGUUUUUGGUUUAUUUUCAAGGUUAUAUUUUCAACUGUUUUUGGUUUAACUCGUGAUUCGUGAACAAGGUUAUAUUUUCAAAUUUUAAAUUGGUGAUUGUUUCUUUGUUUCUUUUGGUUUUUAGUUUGGAUAUUAAAAGUUUUGUACCGUUUUAAUAUAUGACGUGGAUUGUCUGCCCUUCCACUCUCGUGCCUUCCUGUGCCUUCUUGUUUGUGUGAUCACGGUAGUUAAACCACGUUAACAUUUUAUAUUACUAUUUAUUUUUGUCUUAUUAUUUCUAUAAAAAAAAUAUAAAAUGUUGACGUGUAUGCGCAUACACGUAGACAUUAGACAUGUGUCCAAGUCAUCUUGCAAUUACUUUAUAGGUACAGCGAAAUGAUGAUCGAACCCUAAAUUCUAAACCCUAAAUCCUAGGGAAAAGUAAUUGAUGACAAAAAUACUGAGAAAUAAAAUUGGACUUCCUUCAACUUUCAACCUUCCCUAAGUAGAUAUUGAUAAAGCAGCUUUUUCAACCUUGUAUCGGUCGUAUUCUUGAAUUUGGAAGGAAAAGAGGAGUAAUGCUUCCUAGCAUGGGACAUAGAAUAAGACCUAGAAUAAAACCACUUAGAUUAGAAUAGCAUUCACAUAAAUGUUCUAAAAUAGAGUUAAAUCGAACAUUGAAGAGAUUAGUUGGUCGUUAUUGGGAUGGGUUCAAACAGGAUUGCAAUAAAUAAUAAAAAAUAAAAAAUAAUGAAGGAGCGGAACCUUCAUUUGACUCAAGCCAACCCCAGGUCGGGACGAGACUUUCUUUGUGCUACAAAUUAGUGAAAUUCUAUCUCUUUCGUUACACAACUAAAAAAUGGGCAACAACUCUUGAGUCAAAAGCCUUCUAAGUUAUGCUGAUGAUGAUUAUUUAAACCGUACAAAGCGCGUUUCUAGAACUGUUUAUGUCUUUAUCAUUAGAGAUAUUGCAAUAUUGUGCAUAUCAACCAAACAGGACUUAGUUGCUACGUCUUUCAAUCACACUGAGAUUUUAGCCUGUGCAAAGUAUCGCAUGAAUGAUUUUGGCUAAGGCGCGUGAUUGAUCACAUUAAAACUUUAUGUGAUUUUUCUUACAUCGUUGAUGUUCCAACAACGAUUUAUGAAGACAAUGAUGCGUGUAUCGACUGGUCAUACGCUUGUGUGUUUUAAUAACCACUCUGAAUAUGUGAAAUAUCGAUAUCUUGUAUUAACUCAAUUUUUCUCUGUAAGUCUACUAGUUAUCCCAUAGCAAGGUUUUUAACCGAUAGCUGACAACAACAACCACAUCACCUAAUCACGAAGAAAUGAUGCAGCUACUUCUUAAGUUGUACACACUUAAGUAGGAGUGUUGUGAAUAGAAUCAUUAAUUAGAAAUGUGAUUGUGUAAACUUAAAGUAGAAUUCCACAAGGAUUUGGAGAUCAAAUAAUUAUAGGCUUUGUAUUACUUAUAAGGCAAGAAAACUCAUCAUAAUUAGUGAAGAAAACCCAUCAUAAUUAGUAUUAAAAAGUCACGUGCUAAGGGUGAAUACGCCAUUCUUAUACACAUGAGCCCUUCUUUCAUGUCGUCUCAUUCCUCUCUCACGGUCGCAGGUCUGUUGUCCCUAAUUAUGGUGUCUCCUCUCUAAUUUCUCAACACGUGUACCACCCAUUUCGCCUAAUCUUCACCCCAUUAAAUUUUUAAUAAAACUAAAACCCAAAAACAAAGAAACUAGCAGUGACUAUGUCCUCAUCCACCCCAAUCCAUGCAGUCCCGUGCGCCAGCAACCUAAGCAUUCACCCAUGCUAGCCUCCCCAUGCGCCAGCGGCUACCCUUACUUGUACUUGCCAUCACCAAAAUCCUCUUCCAUCCAAAGGCGGAUUUAUUAAGGGACCUAGGUGGUUUCAGGACCACCCGAAUACUCGGAUAAUUGAAAACUUCCGAGGACCACCCAAGUUUGGGCAGUGAAGGGAAAGAGCAACGAACUGCAUAAUGUUCUAGCUUUUUGCAAACUAGAUGGAAAGAAGAAGAACAAGAAGAAGACCAAUUCUUUUUUAAACGGUAUCCUAGGUCACGUGCUACAAAGUCACAUUAAUCAUUCAAGUAAAGAGUAAUGCUAGGGGGACUAAAUUUGUAAAAAAUAUUUGCAAACUAAAUGAUGUGUCACCAAUAGGAAAUGAGCAUGUUUAUCAAUACUUAAGUAAUAAUCCAAUCAUUAACUUUCAUGUCAUUUAGUUUAUAAAUUUUGUCUAAAAAUUUAGUUUUUCUAGCAUUACUCUUAAAUAAAACGGUGAGCACUGAUGUGGUGUUUGAAAACUCAUUCUAGGUCACGUGGGAGGUUGAGAGCCUCACCAUUUUUUUAAUAAAAAAUAAUAAAAAGAGUUCGACUUUCAAAGAAAGUCCACCCCAAGCAAUAUAGUUCCCUAAUCCCCGGAUUUGGAUCCCAUCCAAAUCUAAAUUGUGAGGAUUCUAGGGAUCCGCACAUCUUAGUCAUUCAUCGUGCAUCGUGUAGUAAAAAAUCAUCUGACUUUUUUUAUUUAAAAUUAAACACAAUUAGUACCUAACGAAAACUGGCCGCACGAUGUACGAUAAACAACUAGGAUGUAGGGAUCCCUAUGAUCCCCACAAAGUGGAUCCGGAGAUGAUCCUUUUCCCUAAUCCCCAAUUCCUACCCCGCUCAACUAAAGGUCACCAUCAUCAGCACAGAACCAAUCUCUAGUCUUCACACACCAAUCGGCACUUCAAGAUCAACUUGGUAUUUAAAUUCAUUCUAUGCGUUGAAGAAAUGACUUUUCUCAAUUGUAAGGGAUUAGUAAUCUUGCUAAAAAAUGAUGAAAAAAGGGUUACAUGAAUUGUUGUUUGUACAAAAAUUAUGAAUAAAAAGUCGUAAUUUAUCGUUUAAUGUUUCAAUUUUACUUUCAUCUAAUUUUUUGGAGCUUUUUGUGAAACUUUAUAGGCCUAAGCAUGAUCUAUCACCGAUAUGAUCCCAACUUAACCACGUAUGGCUUAGUGUUUGGUUUUAUCCCAAAAUGACUGGUAAUAUUAAGGGUGAAAACUCUUAUAUAUUAAUAGUGUUGCAGUCCUAUUAGAUUAGGAAUUUGAUUGUGUAAAUCCUAACAUAUAUAUGAUAUUCUUAUGUGAUUCUACCAUAUCUCUUAGACUAUAUAUUAUCUUUUUAGAGUUGUAAUCCUAUUGGGGUAAGGAAUUUACCUUCACUACUACUAUAAAUAAAGGCACUAUGGGAUGAUAUAACACACACCUUACAAUUAGACAUCUAUCUCUUCUCUCUCUAUGUGCCGCACCCCCUCUCUCUCUCUGGCAUUCAUAAUUGUUCAAUAAAUUAUUCCUACAAUACAUUAUUAGCACGCUCUUAACGCUACGCUAAAGAGAGUUUAUUCUUCAUUCAGGGGAGUAUUAUGUUUUAAUCAUUCUUUUUAUGAUUAAUUUAUUAUUUUAUUGAAUUGACCUACAUGCUAUUGAUUCAAUUUAAUUUCUUAUUUGUUGAACGUGAUACAACACAUUGGAUAUGCAAUUCCGGAUUUCCGAGAAGCAUGUUCUACAAAUUUAAAGGCUUUUGUUGUUUUAUGCCAAUCAGGUAUAUUUAAAAUAAAUGAAGAUAUUUGAAACGACCAUGAAGCGUGAAAACAUUCCUCAUGAUACAUGAACCACUUAAAAUUAUAUUUACCUUUCGAUAUAUAUAUACGUUUCAUGCAUUAUGCAAUUUUUGUUAUUUGAAAUUUGUGAGUCAAAAAAUUGAAAUAAAUUAGAAGCAAGGGUUUUUUAAACCCUUCAAUGGCGGACGAGGUGGUGUUGUUGGAUUUCUGGCCAAGCCCAUUUGGGAUGAGGCUGAGGAUUGCUCUGGCAGAAAAGGGCAUCGAGUAUGAGUACAAAGAUGAGGACUUGUGGAACAAGAGCCCAUUGGUGCUGCAGGUGAACCCGAUUCACAAGAAGAUCCCGGUUCUCAUUCACAAUGGAAAACCAGCCUAUGAUUCCCUCAUUGCGCUUCAGUACAUUGAUGAGGUUUGGAAUGAUAAGCCUCCACUCUUGCCCUUUGACUCUUACCUCACAGCCCAGGCCAGGUUCUGGGCUGACUUUGUCAACAAGAAGGUGAUUUUUACUCAUUAAUUUACUUAUUUUUUUGGGUAAAAGACUGUUUACCACCCUCUUAUUUCGUGGUUUUCAACAUUUAGUACAUCAAGUUUUUUUCGUCUCAGAGUAAUACCUAAAGUGUAAAUUUUGGGACAGUCUCAUACAUCUGUUAGUCAAACUGUUAGUUCUCCCGUUAAGUGAUGACGUGGCGCUCUGAUUGGACGCCACGUGUCAUUAAAAAAAUAAAAAAUUUAUUUAAAUAAAAAUAAUAUUAAAUAAUAUUAAAAUAAAUAUUAAAAUAUUAAAAUAAUAAUAAUAAUUUUUUUUUUCUUCUUCUCUUCUUCUUUUUUUUUUUUUUUUUCUUCUUCUUCUUCUCUUCUUCUUCUGGUUCGGUUCUUUUUUUUUUUUUUUUUUUUUUUCAUUCUUCCUCCUCCUCCUCCUACUUCUUCCUUCUCCUUCCUCCUCCUUCUUCUUCUCCUUCUUCUUCUUCUUCUGGGUUCGGUUUCUCUCUUUUUUUUUCUCUUUUUUUUCUUCUUCUUCUUCUUCCUCCUCUUUCUCCUUCUUCUUCCUUCUCUUUCCUCCUCCUUCUUCUUCUCCUUCUUCUUCUUCUGGGUUCGGUUUCUCUUCUUUUUUUUUUUUUUUUUUAUCCUUCUUCCUCCUCCUUCUUCUUCCUUCUCCUUCCUCCUCAUUCUUCUUCUCCUUCUUCUUCCUUCUUCUUCCUCUUCUUUUCUGGGUUCGGUUUUUUUUUUUUUUUUUUUCUGUUUUUUUCCUUCUCCUCCUUCCUUCUUAAGAAGGAAGAAGAAGGAGAAGAAGAAUGAGGAGGAAGGAGAAGGAAGAAGAAGAAGGAGGAGGAAGGAGAAGGAAGAAGAAGGAGAAGGAGGAGGAAGAAAAAAAAAAAAAAAAAAAAAAAAAGAGAGAACCGAACCCAGAAGAAGAAGAAGAAGAAAAAAAAAAGAAGAAGAAGAGAAGAAGGAAAAAAAAAAUAUUUUAUUAUUUAAAUAUUUAUUUAAUAUUAUUUUUAUUUAAAUAAAUUUUUUAUUUUUUUAAUGACACGUGGCAUCCAAUCGGGGCGCCACGUCAUCACUUAACGGGAGAACUAACAGUUUGACUAACAGAUGUAUGAGACUGUCCCAAAAUUUACACUUUAGGUAUGACUCUGGGACGAAAAAAACUUGAUGUACUAAAUGUUGAAAACCACGAAACAUGAGGGUGGUAAACAGUCUUUUACCCUAUUUUUUUUGUUGUUUUUUUUAACAAGUGAUAUUAUCUACACUAAAAAGAAGGGGAUAGGUUUAGCCUCACAAUGAGUUAGUAAUAAUUUGGUUCAAAUUCGCCCUUUGCAAGAAUCGAAUCUAAGACUUCUCACUUACAAGUGAAUAAGAAUAUUAUUAGACCAUAGUACAAAGUGGCAAUUUCACAACAUAAUUAAGUUUAGUAUUUUUUUUUCCUUAAAUAUGCUUUUUUUUAUUUUAUUUUAAAAAAAAUCUAUGUUCAAUUUAACAUGAUACUUAAUUUUGUAAGUACCAAUUUGGAAAAAAAAAAUAUUAAAAAAAGGGGUUUUUAAGUACCCACUAUGUUUUGGCUGAAAAGGAACUAACCCAAAAAAAGCUCCAGAUCUGCUGUCUCUUAAAAUGUAUCUAAUAUGAGUCUCCUUGUUAAUAUGUUGACAUGUAUUCUUUAACUUGACUUAAAACUUAACUUUGUUAAUUUUAUUUAUUUAACAUUUAAAUUAAAAAAAAACUAAAAUAAUAAAAAACUGUUGGGUUAACGAGAUGAGCAAAUCCAAAUAGGAUUCUUCACCUUCUUUUUUGGUUUGCUGCAACAAUCGCAAGGAUCAGAAAGAACAAGGCGAGUUUGCUGUGCAUUUUUCUCCUUUGAAACAAUCGUAGUUCCAAAUCUAGCAUCCACACCAACAAACUCACUUGCCUCAACUCCAUCAAUCCAAGUUCGAACUUUUACCAAAACGAAAUUGUUCUCGCUCCCAGGCUUCUUCGAAGCAGAAUCAUCAUCAUGCACUAUAUCCCCGGCAGUGAUAGAGCUCGGAUUACCGACUAGUAGAAUAGUCAAAGCUGAAACAAAAACCAACCCACAAAGCCCCUUUCUUUCUCUCUCUUCCUUCCAUGGCUACAAUCUCUACAAAUCUGUGAUGCAGAGGAGGAAGAACCAAAAGGGUUGUUCUUUCUGAUCCUCGCGAUUGUCGCAGCAAACCAAAAAAGAAGGUGAAGAAUCCUAUUUAGAUUUGCUCACCUCGUUAACCCAACAUUUUUUCAUUAUUUUGGAUUUUUUUAAAUUUAAAUGUUAAGUAAAUAAAGUUAAUAGAAUUAAGUUUUAAGUUAAAGAACAUACGUCAGCAUAUUAAUAAAGAGAUAAAUAAGACACAUUUUAAAUGACAGCAGAACUGGAGCCCCCCAAAAAAGGCACUUUCGAGAAGUUGGUGGAAGCUGAUGGAACUCUCUGUUUUUAUUGUAUUUUUCCCUUCUGGAUUGCUGCAGAACUUUCUGUAGUUCUCAGAGAAACCUUCUGUGCCAUCCUAUAUAUAUACAACUCACUCCCCAACCCUCCUCAUCAGAUAGAAUUAUCCAAAGCAAUCUAAGCAAAAAUCUCUCGCCCAAAUCCUACGAAUUCACACCCAGCAAAAACCCAACUCAAACCCACCAUCUAAUGGCUCUCAGUCUCUUUGGCGGACGACGAAGCAACGUCUUCGACCCCUUCUCUCUGGACAUCUGGGACCCUUUCGAGGGCUUCGGCGCUCUGGCCAACAUCCCCUCAUCCGCCCGUGAAACCACCGCCAUCGCCAACACGCGCAUCGACUGGAAGGAGACCCCGGAGGCCCACAUCUUCAAGGCGGAUCUCCCGGGGAUAAAAAAGGAGGAGGUGAAAGUGGAGGUGGAGGACGGGAGAGUCCUGCAAAUCAGCGGCGAGAGGAGCCGGGAGCAGGAGGAGAAGAACGACAAGUGGCACAGGGUGGAGAGGAGCAGCGGCAGGUUUAUGAGGAGGUUCAGGCUGCCGGAGAACGCGAAACUUGAUCAGGUGAAGGCGGCGAUUGAGAAUGGGGUGCUGACUGUGACUGUGCCGAAAGAGGAGGAGAAGAAGCCUGAGGUCAAGGCCAUUGACAUUUCCGGUUAAACUAAAUUCGCGUAACCUCGAUCGGCUACUUUUGAGCUCUGUUUUGGUGUGGUGUUAAGUUCUGCUUGUGUGUAUUUCCGAGUCUCUCUGUAUGUGAGAUGAGUGAUAUGGCGUGUCAAUUGUCAUGUAUGGGUUCUUAUUCUAAAUAUUAUAAUAAAUCUUUAUAAAAGUUUACAUUAUAUUUCCAAGAAGUGUGUCUGGGAGAAGGUCUAUUUAAUUUGUUUUCCACGAAUAUGAAGAAGAUGACCGUUCAUGGCGCGAUUCUCUUGCUCUUAAAGUCUAGAACUUUAACACCUGCGCAUGGAAUUGACAAAGAUUCUUUCGAUCUUCACAUGUGCUACUGCUAUUGGGAACCAGCUGCUGAGCUCGUGCGUCCUACGAAGGUUGCAGAGGUGUAUCAGGCAAAGAAGAAAGUUAGAGAUACAAAUUUUGUAUGGGAGAAGUAAUGCUCAAGUCGACAGUCCAGCAAAGGCGACAUUGAAGACAUCUUACUUACUCCAAGAGCAUAUGGCGAAUGCUCGAAGUUGCUUAAUUAGGACAUGGUUCUACAGUGGUCGAAAUUCCUAGCUGCUGUUUUUGGUUUAUUUUCAAGGUUAUAUUUUCAAGAGAACUUUAACGAAAAACUUCCAGUACUGUUUACUUUAACGAAAAAUCAUAUUUUUACACUAAAAAAUUAAUCAUGCUAUUAUUCAUUUUACCUUUUAUUUUAUCCUUACUGUUAAAACUCAAAAUUUUUAAGUCAUUUUUAUUAGUUUUUCUUAUUUUCAACUGUUUUUGGUUUGACUCGUGAACAAGGUUGUGUUUGCAAUUUUAAACCGGUGAUUGUUUCUUUUGUUUCUUUUGGUUUUUAGUUUGGAUAUUAAAAGUGUUGUACCGUUUUAAUAUAAAACAAAGCUUUUGAGUACUUCCAUGGUCAUCUUAACCCUGGAUGCAAAACGAGAUUGAUUCAAUCCUAAACGAGAUCAAUUAUUUAAGUGAAAUCAACCGCUGUAUUUUACUUGUAGACUAGAGCUGACAUAUCUUUUGUUGUGAAUUUUAGCAAGGUACAACAAUGCGCCUACACGUAGACACUAGACAUAUGUCCAAGUCAUCCUGCAAUUACUUUAUAGGUAUAGUGAAAUGAUGAUCAAACCCUAAAUUCUAAACCCUAAACCCUAGGGAAAAGUAAUUGAUGACAAAAAUACUGAGAAAUAAAAUUUGACUUCCUUCAGCUUUCGACCUUCCCUAGGUAGAUAUCCAUAUAGUAGCUUUUUCAACUUUGUAUCGGUCGUAUUCUUGAAUUUGGAAGGAAAAGAGGAGUAAUGCUUCCUAGCAUGGGACAUAGAAUAAGACCUAGAAUAAGGCCACUUAGAUUAGAAUAGCAUUCACAGAAAUGUUCUAACAUAGAGUUAAAUCGAACAUUGAAGAGAUUAGUUGGUCGUUAUUGGGACGGGUUCAAACAGGACUGCAAUCAAUAAUAAAAAAAAUAAAAAAUAAAAGAAUGAAGGAGCGGAACCUUCCUUUGACUCAAGCCAACCCCAGGUCAGGACGAGACUUUCUUUGUGCUACCAAUUAGUGAAAUUCUAUCUCUUUCUUACACAACUAAAAAAUGGGCAACAACUCUUGAAUCAAAAGCCUUCUAAGUUAUGCUGAUGAUGGUUAUUUAAACCGUACAAAGCGCGUUUCUAGAACGAUUUAUGUCUUUAAAUUCAUUCUAUGCGUUGAAGAAAUGACUUUUCUCAAUUGUAAGGGAUUAGUAAUCUUGCUAAAAAUGAUGAAAAAAGGAUUACAUGAAUUGUUGUUUGUACAAAAAUUAUUAAUAAAAGUUGUAGUUUAUCGUUUAAUGUUUCAAUUUUAUUUUCAUCUAAUUUUUUGGAGCUUUUUGUGAAACUUUAUAGGCCUAAGCAUGAUCUAUCACCGAUAUGAUCCCAACUUAACCACGUAUGGCUUAGUGUUGGGUUUUAUCCCAAAAUGACUGGUAAUAUUAGGGGUGAAAACUCUUAUUUAUUAAUAGUGUUGCAGUCCUAUUAGAUUAAGAAUUUGAUUGUGUAAAUCCUAACUUAUAUAUGAUAUCCUUAUGUGAUUCUACCAUAUAUUUUAGACUAUAUAUUAUCCUUUUACAGUUGUAAUUCUAUUGGGGUAAGGAAUUUACCUUCACUACUACUAUAAAUAAAGGCACUAUGGGAUGAUAUAACACACACCUCACAAUUACACAUCUAUCUCUUCUCUCUCUAUGUGAUGCACCCCCUCUCUCUGGCAUUCAUAAGUGUUCAGUAAAUUAUGCCUACAAUACAUUAUCAGCACGCUCUUGAUGCUACGCUAAAGAGAGUUUAUUCUUCAUUCAGUGAAGUAUUACGUUUUAAUCAUUCUUUUUAUGAUUAAUUUAUUAUUUUAUUGAAUUGACCUACAUGCUAUUUGUUGAUGCACAAAACCGGAGGGGUCUUGGAACAACGUAAAUCUGACCGUGAAUCUGCAAGAAAUUAAAUAACACAAGAUGUAUCGUGGUUCAUCCCAAUGUUCGGGCUACGUCCACACUGAUAUUGUAUUUCUCUGUUUGUGAGAGGAUUGUGAGGGUGAGAGCCUCUGUAAUGUGAGAGUGAUGCUUCUCUUUAGGGAUCUGAGACCCUUCCGUUUGUGAGGGUGAGGAUACCCCUUUUAUAGACUAAGAGCUCCUCACUUAUUACAUAUUUCCCCCUUCAUUUAUUACAUAAUUACAUUUGAGUCCCCCGAGUAUUUAUACGAGGUCUAAAUACGGAGGCCCUAAGUAUGGUACAAACAGUAGUCCCCCAAGUCUUCAGUCAAGAGAGUCUUUUGGCUAGAGACUUGAAAUUCAGUCCAUGUGUAGGCCGAAGUAACUAGAUGUCGUCUAGGACUGAUACUCGAUAUGAAGCGGUGCUCAAUCUGAAAUAAUGUUCAACUAGAAGUAGCACAUGUUGCAAGGCUGCUCGGUUUGUGGCUUAUGUUGCCUUGGUUGGCUCGGCUUGUGGCGUUGAAGGUGAGGGAGUCCCUUUUAUAAAAUAAGGGCUCGCUCCUCAAUACAUAAGUGAUGGGCUAGAGUUUAUGCUCGCGGCGAGACGGUUGCUCAGCUGGCGACGAUGCUCUCUAAUGAUGGUGAGGGAGUCCCUUUUAUAGAAUAAGGGAUCGCUCCUCAAUACAUAAGUGAUGGGCUAGAGUUGAUGCUCACGGCGAGACGGUUGCUCAGCUGGCGACGCUGCUCUCUAAUGAUGGUGAGGGAGUCCCUUUUAUAGAAUAAGGGAUCGAUCCUUAAUACAUAAAUGAUGGGUUAGGAGUGAUGCUCGCGGCGAGGUGGUUGCUCAGCUGGCGGCGAUGCUCUCUAAUGAAGGUGAGGGAGUCCCUUUUAUAAAAUAAGGGAUCGCUCCUCAGUACAUGAAUAAUGGAUGCUUUCUAAUGAAAGUGAAUGAGUCACUUUUAUAGAAUAACGACUCGCUCCUCAAUACAUAAAUAAUGGGUUAGAGUCCCCCAAGUAUUUUUCAUGAGGCCCAGUUGAGGCCCAAUAUAUGGUACAUAAUGUAGUUCCCCAAGUCUUCAGUCAAUAGGGUCUGUUGGCUGGAGACUUCAAAUUGAAUCCAUGUAUGGGCCGAAGUGGUGGUUGUUCGGAGACGGUAUUUGUAUAUCCUUGUCACACCCCGGACCCGGGGUAGGUGGAAAAUUCGAUCCCAAGUCUGAAACGCGAACUAAAAACUAAAUAAAUAAAAUAAAACGGAAACGGGUUGGAAAAUAAAAUUCUUCUUAUUUAAAAUAACUCAAUAAUUCUUUACAAGGCUAAAUAAAUAAAUACAAAUUCUAGCCUCACAUCUAUCUCGUUUCAUCCCGUCUACCAUUUUGACAGUUUAGUUAGUAAACCUGCAUAACAAUAGAGGGGUGAGCUUCAACAGCUCAGUAGGAACAUAACCUUACCACAGUAAAAUUGACAAUACUAAAUUACGUGUUAUAAAAUCAUGUAAUCAAGUACCAAAUCAUUCUCGAUAACAAUGCAUGAAUGCAAUGCAAAACUCUUCAUCUUUGCCCGUUAAUUCAUAUAAUAAAACACGCGGACCUGCACGUCCCAUACCGUGCAUUUUACCUCUGCAGUGGUGGUUCGAAUGUUUUAAUAUACAAAUUAACCCCAUGUAACUCAAUCAUCCCAAUUUCCCAAACUCUUCGUCGCCAGUCCCGAAUUACCCUUAAAGAAUUUAUGCAUUGUGGGCUCGCCUGAGACCUGGUACCUGCUAAGAGUUUGGCUCAACUACACAAAAGAUAUUUCCAACUACCCUCAUUUCCAGAAUUCCUUCCUCAACACCAAACUUCCAACUAUUCUCACACAUAAGUGAUGCACAAAUAAUCUCAUUUCAUCAUUCACAUGUACCAGAACAUAUUCUCAGCGAAUAUAACUUCACCAAUAAUUUCGUAUCCAAUAACGAGUAAACACACAAGAGCAGUAUUUGUCCAAUUAGUAAACCAUAUCACAUUAAUCAACCAACAAGAUCGAUAAUAAUAUAAUGUUUCACGAAAUUUAAUAAAGCCAAUCUCCGUAAAGGUCUGCCGUAUUUCCCUUACCUAGAGUCCAAAGCAAGCAAACAAUGUCCCUUACCAACACCUCGAUUAAACACAACCAUCGUGGUAACUGGAGUCCCUGAUCCAACAAAUAAACUAUAUCACUGUAUAAUCCCUAUAUCUAACACCCAAUAUAAACUCCUUUAUUUUAGAAUUCCAAUAUUAGGCUUAACAUCACCUUAUCUUAGUUGGACCCUUAAAACAUUUUUCUUUCUUAUUUGGGUCCUAAAAAAUUUCUCAAUUAUAUACAUGCUACCAAGAAGCAUUUGCCCACAAAACAAUUCUAAAAUCACAGUUUUGUCCCAAGCCUUCGGGUAAUAACAAAACUACCCUUAACUUUCAGAGAACUGUAAAAUGGCCCCAAAUCUGAACUUCUAUUUCAGUUUGGUCCCUGUAGGGUGAAUAGUGAUAUUCAUGGCUAUUUUCCAGAUUGGUUCCUCUUGUCUUUCAAUCCAAAACAUGUCUAAACCCAUUUAUCAUGAUCUCUAAGUACCAAAUCACCAUUCAAGUUCACCAAGUUCCCUUAAUUUCGUAACAGCCACAAAAUAUCAAGGUUUAAAAACCAUGAAAUAAUUCUAGGGUUUGCAGCAGCUAGCCCAUAAAGAAUAUAACCUCAAUUCGUUCAGUUAUGCUUCCAAUAAGCUUAAUCCACCAUAAACAACAUUUAAAUUUAAAGAUUAAAGUUUGUGUAGGAAUAAAUCCCAAAAAUGGCAGCUUUCAAAAUCUGCAGUAAAUCCAUAAAUUAUUACUUGAGAUUUGUAAUACUCUUCCCCACGAAAGUGGAAUCAAAUUCGAACUUCCAAAUCAAAAGUUAAGAGAAAAUUGGUGUUUGGUUGAGACAAGGAGAUGAAGCUCAUUGCUUCCUCUUUGCAUCUUUCCGUGAAGAGAAGAAGAAAGACCAUUAGGUCUUUCGAUCCAAUAUAUAGGUGCACUUGCACCGCUUUCUUCAUUUGUGAUCCAAUGUCCACUUGCCACGUUUCAACGUAAUUCUAUCUUCUUCUUAAGGUCCAACUAAAACCUGCCAAGUGGUAGACUUGGCACUUAUUUGAGAACCCGGAUCAUAUCCUUUUGCUGUCACCUUCAGGAGCUGUCAUGUGGUGAUUCGCCAUUGGUCCAGCUUGUAAAUUCAAUUAAAACCUACACUCCGAAAAAUCAUCUAAAAGAUUAUACAAAAUCGCAAUGACGUUCACUACCUUCAUAUGAAAACCUUUUGAAUAAAUAAGCACAACAUAUUUUUUCCAAAUAUUUUUCUUAUUCAAUAAUAAAUUCUUGGGAUAUUACAAUCUUGCACUAAAGCUUUGUAGGUGAAGCUUUGCAAGUGAAGCUUUGAAGCUAGAGCUCUGUAAAUGAAGCUUUCGAAGUUGGAGCUUUUGUAAAUGAAGCUUUUGAAGCUAGAGCUUUGUAAAUGAAGCUUUCGAAGCUGGAGCUCUAUAAAUGAAGCUUUCGAAGCUAGAACUCUAUAAAUGAAGCUUUCGAAGCUAGAGCUUUGUAAAUGAAGCUUUUGAAGCUAGAGCUUUGUAAAUGAAGCUUUCGAAGCUGGAGCUCUAUAAAUGAAGCUUUCGAAGCUAGAGCUUUGUAAAUGAAGCUUUCGAAGCUAGAGCUUUGUAAAUGAAGCUUUUGAAGCUAGAGCUUUGUAAAUAAAGCUUUUGAAGCUAGAGCUUUUGUAAAUGAAGCUUUUAAAGCUAGAGCUCUGUAAAUGAAGCUUUUGAAGCUAGAACUUUUGUAAAUGAAGCUUUUGAAGCUAGAACUCUGUAAAUGAAGCUUUCGAAGCUAAAUUGACAUGAGUGAUGCUCAUGAAUGUUUAUGUUGAUUGACAUGAGUGAUGCUUAUGAAUGUUAACAUGAGUGAUGCUUAUGAAUGUUGACAUGAAUGAUGGUCAUGAAUAUUUAUGUAUGAUUGACAUGAGUGAUGUUCAUGAAUGUUUAUGUAUGAUUGACAUAAGUGGUGCUCAUGAAUGUUUAUGUAUGAUUGAUAUGAGUGAUGCUCAUGUAUAAUUUUGGAGUACUGGACAUACUUUUGAUCACCUGGUUGGUGAUAAUAGCGGCAGGCUGCCGAAUAAUUUUGGGAGUACUGGACGUACUUUUGAUCACCUGGUUGGUGAUAAUAACGGCAAGGUGUCGAAUAAUUUUGGAAGUACUGGGCGUACUUUUGAUCACCUGGUUGGUGAUAAUAGCGGCAGGGUGCCGAAUAAAUUUGGAGCCAUAAGGCUUGGCUCUUUUGGGCAUAUGGCCCUUCGCCAUCCACAUGACAUUGCAGCCCAUUAUUUUAGGCUUGCCUUUUUUUUAUAUUUUAUUUUAUUUUUAUGAUUACCCUCUGAUGGGGUUAUACAGAUGUCUUUGAAAGAUAAGAAAAAUAAAUUACAUCAUUCAAAAAUAAAUCUGACCCUCUGCUCAAUGGGUCACGCCCAUAAUUCUCUUUUCUGCAUGUCAUCACCACAACAAUUAUGUCUGCUUUUUUUUUUUUUUAUCUUAUUUUGCUUUGCUGCUUUUGUUUUUCCCACUUCAUUUCCUGCAACUUUCAAAACGUCAAGGUUGGCAGAGCCCAUCUGCAGACUUGCUUUUGCUUUUUCUUUUCACUUUUAUGGGAGUGGUUGAGCUGUCUGAGGGCCUUUCUUUUUCUUUUGUUGGAUAAGUGCGACAAAGCAUCAAUAUGCUAGCACAUGUGAAUAUCUGGUAAAGCUAAGUCUUUUGUUGGGAAAAGUUAUUCCUUUUGUCUAAGUGGGUUGUUGAAGAUAACCCAUCAUUGCAGCUCCACCACAAGUUUGCAUCUUAGCUUCCAUGCUCGCCGACAGUACCGUAUGGACUGGAUUCCAAUGUUCAGUUGCAAACUCGCAGCCAUUUGGACCGUCACCAGGAAGCCUUGAAUUGAAACACACAUUGUUUUACUGAAAACAGCAACUUUCUCUUCCUCUCCUCAGAAACAACUUAGCACCUAGAACAGAGAGGGAAACAUCCUGCGGACGGCAAGGUCACCGAGAAGCUUGUAACGGAGAGACUUGGCCUGAGCAAUAGCGCACAGCCCUCUGUUGUUAACCUUCUCAACGUAAAGCUCAACGCUGUUUUCUGGAAACUUAAACCUCUUCUGUACAACAGAGGUUAGCUCCCUGAUCCUCAUCCCCUUCUCUCCGAGAACGUUUUGGGUUCAGGUGGCUCGGAUGAUGAUCUGGGUUCGCAUCGGCAUAACCCUAACUUCAACGCCGGAGUAGCCGUCUUCGGCGAGCUCUCUCGUCAACACCUCGUUCAGCUCGGCGAAGAAAACGUCAUUGGCGAUGAACAUUCUGCGGACGGCAAGGUCACCGAGAAGCUUGUAACGGAGAGACUCGGCCUGAGCAAUAGCGCACAGCCCUCUGUUGUUAACCUUCUCAACGUAAAGCUCAACGCUGUUUUUUGGAAACUUAAACCUCUUCUGUACAACAGAGGUUAGCUCCCUGAUCUUCAUCCCCUUCUCUCCGAUAACGUUUUGGGUUCAGGUGCCUCAAAUGAUGAUCUCGGUUUGCAUCGGCAUAACCCUAACUUCAACGCCGGAGUAGCCGUCUUAGGCGAGCUCUCUCGUUAGCACCUCGUUCAGCUCGGCGAAGAAAACGCCAUUGGCGAUGAACUUUCGCUUCUUGCUCAUUUGGGUCGCAGUCGCCAUGGUUGUGGGUGUGAAAGUUGCAGAGAUGGGAUCUGAAAUAUGGUGGCAGGAGAGGAUUCAAGGCCACCUGGGUAUCUACAACAUUGUUCAACUUGAUGCCAAACUGAAAGUACAGGGCCUCACUAUCUCGUUUGCAAUCAUGAAUGACUUUGGUGAUAUAGGAAUACUCAAGUGCAGGCUUACAGGCAUUGAUCAGCAUCACCCCUCCCUGAAUGGCAUCAACCAGAUAUAUAGCAUUUGGAAAUACAAGCUGCAUGAUACAGAGAGUUCCAUGACGACAAAGGUUAACUCCCUUGCAAUCAAAACCAAUGACAAAUGGCCUUUCAGCUGAAAGCUGGGCCAGGCGAAAGAGGAAUGUGAGUCUAUAAAGGAGGAGGUACAGAGGUCAUGCGAUCGGACCAUCCACGCCAAUCUUUAAUUUUGCCUCCAAACCAACGAAACCCUGAUUGUCUCUUAUUCUCUCUCUUCUCAUAUGCUGAUUGAAUGAGUGUGAUUGUAACUGACAAAUAAUGGUAGAGAGAGAAAAAGUUUGUGGUGUUUUGUUUGAAAAGGUGAAAGAGAUCAGAAGCAAAAGUGAGGUAGAGAGAAUUUUGGUUGUCUCUUGGGUUUUGCAGAUCCACGGCGAAGGUGAAAAUUGAGAUAGGACCGACAUAGCUUUUCGUGUCACUUCCCACAGACGACGCCAAAUGUUGAUGCACAAAACCGGAGGGUCUUGGAACAAUGUAAAUCCGACCGUGAAUGUGCAAGAAAGUAAAUAACACAAUAUGUAUCGUGGUUCACCCCAAUGUGCGGGCUACAUCCACAUUGAUAUUGUAUUUCUCUGUUUGUAAAAGGAUUGUGAGGGUGAGAGCUUCUGUAAUGUGAGAGUGAGGCCUCUCUUUGGGGAUCUGAGACCCUUUCGUUUGUGAGGGUGAUGAGGCCCCUUUUAUAGACUAAGGGCUUCUCACUUAUUACAUAUUUCCCCCUUCAUUUAUUACAUAAUUACAUUUGAGUCCCCCGAGUAUUUAUACAAGGUCUAAAUACGGAGGCCCUAAGUAUGGUACAAACACUAUUGAUUCAAUUUAAUUUUUUAUUUGUUGAACGUGAUACAACACAUUGGAGAUGCAAUUCCGGCUUUCCGAGAAAGAUGUUCUACAAAUUUAAAGGCUUUUGUUGUUUUAUGUUAAUCAGGUACGUUUAAAAUAAAUGAAGAUAUUUGAAACGACCAUGAAGCAUGGAAACAUUCCCCAUGAUGCAUGAACCCCUUACAAUUAUAUUUACCUUUCGAUAUAUAUAUACGUUUCAUGCAUUAUGCAAUUUUUGUUAUUUGGAAUUUGCGAGUCAGAGAAUUGAAAUAAAUUAGAAGCAAGGGUUUUUCAAACCCUUCAAUGGCGGAUGAGGUGGUGUUGUUGGAUUUCUGACCAAGCCCAUUUGGGAUGAGGCUGAGGAUUGCUCUGGCAGAAAAGGGCAUCGAGUAUGAGUACAAAGAUGAGGACUUGUGGAACAAGAGCCCACUGUUGUUGCAGAUGAACCCGAUUCACAAGAAGAUACCGGUUCUCAUUCACAAUGGAAAACCAGCCUAUGAUUCCCUCAUUGCGCUUCAGUACAUUGAUGAGGUUUGGAACGAUAAGGCUCCACUCUUGCCCUUUGACUCUUACCUUAUAGCCCAGGGCUGACUUUGUCAACAAGAAGGUGAUUUUUACUCAUUAAUUUACUUAUUUUUUGUUGUUGUUUUUUUUUUUUCAACAAACGAUAUUAUCUACACUAAAAAGAAGAUGGUAGGUUUAGCCUCACAAUGAAUUAUUAAUAAUUUGGUUCAAAUUCGCUAUUUGCAAGAAUCGAACCUAAGACCUCUCACUUACAAGUAAAAAAGAAUAUCCCUAUACCGUAGUACAAGAUGACAAUUUCACAACAUAAUUAAGUUUAGUAUUUUUUUUCUAAAAUAUGCUCUUUUAUUUAUUUUUAAAAAAUCUAUGUUCAAUUUGACAUGAUACUUAAUUUUCUAUGUACCAAUUUGGAAAGAAAAAAAAUUUAAAAAAAAGGGGUUUAUAAGUACCAACUAUGUUUUGGGCCGAAAAGGAACUAACCCAAAAAAAGGGCCUUUCGAGAAGUUGGUGGAAGCUGAUGGAACUCUCUGUUUUUAUUGUUUUUUUUCCCUUCUGGAUUGCUGCAGAACUUUCUGUAGUUCUCGGUGAAACCUUCUGUGCCAUCCUAUAUAUAUACAACUCACUCCACAACCCUCCUUAUCAGUUAGAAUUAUCCAAAGCAAUCAAAGCAAAAUCUCUCACUCAAAUCCUUCGAAUUCACACCCAGCAAAAACCCAACUCAAACCCACCAUCUAAUGGCUCUCAGUCUCUUUGGCGGACGACGAAGCAACGUCUUCGACCCCUUCUCUCUGGACAUCUGGGACCCUUUCGAGGGCUUCGGCGCUCUGGCCAACGUCCCCUCCUCCGCCCGUGAAACCACCGCCAUCGCCAACACUCGCAUCGACUGGAAGGAGACCCCGGAGGCCCACAUCUUCAAGGCGGACCUCCCUGGGAUAAAAAAGGAGGAGGUGAAAGUGGAGGUGGAGGAUGGGAGGGUCCUGCAGAUCAGCGGCGAGAGGAGCCGGGAGCAGGAGGAGAAGAACGACAAGUGGCACAGGGUGGAGAGGAGCAGUGGCAAGUUUAUGAGGAGGUUCAGGCUGCCGGAGAACGCGAAACUUGAUCAGGUGAAGGCGGCGAUGGAGAAUGGGGUGCUGACUGUGACUGUGCCGAAAGAGGAGGAGAAGAAGCCUGAGGUCAAGGCCAUAGACAUUUCCGGUUAAACUAAAUUCGCAUAACCUCGAUCCGCUACUUUUGAGCUUUGUUUUGGUGUGGUGUUAAGUUCUGCUUGUGUGUAUUUCCGAGUGUCUCUGUAUGUGAGAUGAGUGAUAUGGUGUGUCAAUUGUCAUGUACGGGUUCUUGUUCUAAAUAUUUAUAAUAAAUCUUCAUAAAAGUUGGAGUACAUUAUAUUUCCAAGAAGUGUCUCCGGGAGAAGGUCUAUUUAAUUUUUUUUCCACGAAUAUGGAGAAGAUGACCGUUCAUGGCGCGAUUCUCUUGCUGUUAAAGUCUAGAACUU